Molecule: ribosomal RNA, 433 nt
Filed under: uncultured bacterium
Lineage: Bacteria
Description: partial 16S ribosomal RNA
Rfam family: Bacterial small subunit ribosomal RNA
Source: RNAcentral
AACGAACGCUGGCGGCAUGCCUAACACAUGCAAGUCGAACGAGACCUUCGGGUCUAGUGGCGCACGGGUGCGUAACGCGUGGGAAUCUGCCCUUGGGUUCGGAAUAACAGUUGGAAACGACUGCUAAUACCGGAUGAUGACGUAAGUCCAAAGAUUUAUCGCCCAGGGAUGAGCCCGCGUAGGAUUAGCUAGUUGGUGGGGUAAAGGCCUACCAAGGCGACGAUCCUUAGCUGGUCUGAGAGGAUGAUCAGCCACACUGGGACUGAGACACGGCCCAGACUCCUACGGGAGGCAGCAGUGGGGAGUAUUGGACAAUGAGCGAAAGCCUGAUCCAGCAAUGCCGCGUGAGUGAUGAAGGCCUUAGGGUUGUAAAGCUCUUUUACCCGGGAUGAUAAUGACAGUACCGGGAGAAUAAGCCCCGGCUAACUCCGUG